This 686-nucleotide ribosomal RNA is filed under the name Salmonella enterica subsp. enterica serovar Mikawasima. Its description in RNAcentral is "partial 23S ribosomal RNA". It matches the Rfam family "Bacterial large subunit ribosomal RNA", at positions 2164 to 2844 of the family's 2925-position model. Lineage: Bacteria; Pseudomonadati; Pseudomonadota; Gammaproteobacteria; Enterobacterales; Enterobacteriaceae. RNAcentral also lists the same sequence under 1 other name. The record is from RNAcentral.
GUGGACGCCAGUCUGCAUGGAGCCGACCUUGAAAUACCACCCUUUAAUGUUUGAUGUUCUAACGUGGACCCGUAAUCCGGGUUGCGGACAGUGUCUGGUGGGUAGUUUGACUGGGGCGGUCUCCUCCUAAAGAGUAACGGAGGAGCACGAAGGUUGGCUAAUCCUGGUCGGACAUCAGGAGGUUAGUGCAAUGGCAUAAGCCAGCUUGACUGCGAGCGUGACGGCGCGAGCAGGUGCGAAAGCAGGUCAUAGUGAUCCGGUGGUUCUGAAUGGAAGGGCCAUCGCUCAACGGAUAAAAGGUACUCCGGGGAUAACAGGCUGAUACCGCCCAAGAGUUCAUAUCGACGGCGGUGUUUGGCACCUCGAUGUCGGCUCAUCACAUCCUGGGGCUGAAGUAGGUCCCAAGGGUAUGGCUGUUCGCCAUUUAAAGUGGUACGCGAGCUGGGUUUAGAACGUCGUGAGACAGUUCGGUCCCUAUCUGCCGUGGGCGCUGGAGAACUGAGGGGGGCUGCUCCUAGUACGAGAGGACCGGAGUGGACGCAUCACUGGUGUUCGGGUUGUCAUGCCAAUGGCACUGCCCGGUAGCUAAAUGCGGAAGAGAUAAGUGCUGAAAGCAUCUAAGCACGAAACUUGCCCCGAGAUGAGUUCUCCCUGAGACUUUAGGUCUCCUGAAGGAACGUUGAAGA